Molecule: long non-coding RNA, 582 nt
Organism: Myxocyprinus asiaticus (Chinese sucker)
Lineage: Eukaryota; Metazoa; Chordata; Actinopteri; Cypriniformes; Catostomidae
Exons: 3
Source: RefSeq, a predicted model, not a curated record
GGUUUCCGCUCUCUGACUGAAAAAGUGCUGCAGUAGCAAGUGUUUUAUCCCCGGCAGCCGCUUGCUCGUGCACAUCAGAGCCCACCUGAUGAGCUACUGAGACAGUGAAGUCAAUGGAAACCUGUUAUAAGACCAUUUUGUUCGUAUGGAGGAAUGCGGCGCCAAUCAAAAAAGUCCUCUUCAUCUUCUUGAUUGUGGAUGUGAAUUAAUGACUUUCAGGGCAAUGACCUUAAAAGGAAUUUCUAUUGAAAAUGCUUACGACAAAGCAACAAGAAAUAAUAAUUUCCUCCUGGUCCUUUUAAAGAUGUAAAUGACCCACUGUUGCAUGCUGGGAUUGAAGACAUUAAACCAUAAACAAAACACUUGAAAGUGAGCUGCACAUGUGGCUUGAGGGGAGAACAUCAUAUGGGGCAUGGCAUCACCAGCGAGUACCGUUAGUGCAAAUUGAAUGAAUAUGAAAUUGGUCUGCACAUUAUCAGAAUAACACAGCUUGUACUUUUGCAAGAAUGUCUAAAAUUAAUAGCACAACAUUUACAAGUCCAUUCCAUUCACAGAGGCACAGUCUCCAAUUUACAUUAGGCU